CUCCGAGAACUGAAAGGCUUUUUGAAGUCUUCGGAUGGAUAGAAGAACCCCUGAUGCCGUCGAGCCAAGAAAAGUUUCUAAGUUUAGCUAAUGUUGCCCGUACCGUAAACCGACACAGGUGGGUGGGAUGAGUAUUCUAAGGCGCGUGGAAGAACUCUCUUUAAGGAACUCUGCAAAAUAGCACCGUAUCUUCGGUAUAAGGUGUGGUUAGCUUUGUAUUAGGAUUUACUCCGAAAGCAAGGAAACUUACAACAAAGAGUCCCUCCCGACUGUUUACCAAAAACACAGCACUCUGCUAACUCGUAAGAGGAUGUAUAGGGUGUGACGCCUGCCCGGUGCUCGAAGGUUAAUUGAUGGGGUUAGCAUUAGCGAAGCUCUUGAUCGAAGCCCGAGUAAACGGCGGCCGUAACUAUAACGGUCCUAAGGUAGCGAAAUUCCUUGUCGGUUAAAUACCGACCUGCAUGAAUGGCGUAACGAGAUGGGAGCUGUCUCAAAGAGGGAUCCAGUGAAAUUGUAGUGGAGGUGAAAAUUCCUCCUACCCGCGGCAAGACGGAGAGACCCCGUGGACCU
Molecule: ribosomal RNA, 570 nt
Filed under: Campylobacter jejuni
Lineage: Bacteria; Pseudomonadati; Campylobacterota; Epsilonproteobacteria; Campylobacterales; Campylobacteraceae
Description: partial 23S ribosomal RNA
Rfam family: Bacterial large subunit ribosomal RNA
Source: RNAcentral